This 27-nucleotide small RNA is filed under the name Bombyx mori (domestic silkworm). RNAcentral describes it as "ovarian small RNA-26171". The record is from RNAcentral. Lineage: Eukaryota; Metazoa; Arthropoda; Insecta; Lepidoptera; Bombycidae.
UCAUCUGAUUGCGACGACCCCGGUGCU